GGGGCCAGCUGGAGGAUGUCUCCAGGAGCAGGAGUUUCUCACUGCAUUGAAGACCCAUUAGUGGUCUUCGGCUGUUAUCUGCUCUUUGGUCGGGUUGUUGUUUCUUUGACACACUCCCCAUUGCAUUUCCAUUCUCAAUUUUAAAACAUGUGAAUAAAUGUAGUAGUUUUUUUACAUUAAGAAACUAAAAGGUUUUUUUUUUAAAUUAUUCGUCCUGUUUUAAACUUUUGUUUUUAAAAUUCCAAUAGGGAACAUACUUUAUAUAAUUGUUUUUAACUAUAAAAUAAGAGACUUAGUUAUCUAAAAUU
This 308-nucleotide long non-coding RNA is filed under the name Mytilus galloprovincialis (Mediterranean mussel). The record is from RNAcentral. Lineage: Eukaryota; Metazoa; Mollusca; Bivalvia; Mytilida; Mytilidae.